RNAcentral lists this ribosomal RNA (611 nucleotides) under uncultured fungus. Its description in RNAcentral is "eukaryotic LSU rRNA". The stretch from base 227 to 380 matches the Rfam family "5.8S ribosomal RNA". Lineage: Eukaryota; Fungi. The record is from RNAcentral.
AAGUCGUAACAAGGUAUCCGUAGGUGAACCUGCGGAUGGAUCAUUACCGAAGCGUGGCGCCUCUAGGCUUUUGUCUAGAAGGCGUCGCCAACCCACCCUUGUGCAACGUAACGUACCCUGGUGGUUCGGCGCCGGCGGCUAGCCGGCAAAGGCCACCGAAGGGCCCCUUGGGUCCGACCAACUCGUCUACGUAAAGUCUGAAUUUAACGUAAUGAAUGGUUCAAACAACUUUUGACAACGGAUCUCUUGGCUCUCGCAACGAUGAAGAACGCAGCGAAAUGCGAUACGUAAUGUGAAUUGCAGAAUUCCGUGAAUCAUCGAAUCUUUGAACGCAUCUUGCGCUUCUCGGUAUUCCGGGAAGCAUGCCUGUUUGAGUCUCAGUUGACUCUCACCUCUGGUGGACCUGAGCGGCUCGGCGUUAACGCCCGCUGCUUAAAAUGUAUGCAGCCGGCCGCUAGAGUGCACGCGCUCCGAUGGCUUGAUAGAAUCCCUUCGGAUUUGACAGCUAGCGGAUCGAGUUCGUCUCUAGAUGCACGGUGACUGAAUGCGGAUUUCGCGGUUCGCACUCGACACCUUGAGCUCAAAUCAGGCAAGACUACCCGCUGAACUUA